RNAcentral lists this ribosomal RNA (969 nucleotides) under Flavobacterium sp. Spegb37. RNAcentral describes it as "bacterial SSU rRNA". It matches the Rfam family "Bacterial small subunit ribosomal RNA", at positions 52 to 1028 of the family's 1533-position model. The record is from RNAcentral. Lineage: Bacteria; Pseudomonadati; Bacteroidota; Flavobacteriia; Flavobacteriales; Flavobacteriaceae.
CACAUGCAAGUCGAGGGGUAUAGUUCUUCGGGACUAGAGACCGGCGCACGGGUGCGUAACGCGUAUGCAAUCUACCUUGUACAGAGGGAUAGCCCAGAGAAAUUUGGAUUAAUACCUCAUAGUGUUAUUGAAUGGCAUCAUUUAAUAACUAAAGUUCUAACGGUACAAGAUGAGCAUGCGUCCCAUUAGUUAGUUGGUAAGGUAACGGCUUACCAAGACAAUGAUGGGUAGGGGUCCUGAGAGGGAGAUCCCCCACACUGGUACUGAGACACGGACCAGACUCCUACGGGAGGCAGCAGUGAGGAAUAUUGGACAAUGGGCGCAAGCCUGAUCCAGCCAUGCCGCGUGCAGGAUGACUGCCCUAUGGGUUGUAAACUGCUUUUAUACAGGAAGAAACACUGCUACGUGUAGCAGCUUGACGGUACUGUAGGAAUAAGGAUCGGCUAACUCCGUGCCAGCAGCCGCGGUAAUACGGAGGAUCCAAGCGUUAUCCGGAAUCAUUGGGUUUAAAGGGUCCGUAGGCGGCCUUAUAAGUCAGUGGUGAAAUCUCCUAGCUCAACUAGGAAACUGCCAUUGAUACUGUAGGGCUUGAAUUUUUAGGAAGUAACUAGAAUAUGUAGUGUAGCGGUGAAAUGCUUAGAUAUUACAUGGAAUACCAAUUGCGAAGGCAGGUUACUACUAAUGGAUUGACGCUGAUGGACGAAAGCGUGGGUAGCGAACAGGAUUAGAUACCCUGGUAGUCCACGCCGUAAACGAUGGAUACUAGCUGUUCGGUCUUCGGACUGAGUGGCUAAGCGAAAGUGAUAAGUAUCCCACCUGGGGAGUACGCACGCAAGUGUGAAACUCAAAGGAAUUGACGGGGGCCCGCACAAGCGGUGGAGCAUGUGGUUUAAUUCGAUGAUACGCGAGGAACCUUACCAGGGCUUAAAUGGGAGACGACAGGACUGGAAACAGUUUUUUCUUCGGACG